RNAcentral lists this ribosomal RNA (216 nucleotides) under Glomeromycotina sp. RNAcentral describes it as "partial small subunit ribosomal RNA". The stretch from base 75 to 216 matches the Rfam family "Eukaryotic small subunit ribosomal RNA", at positions 721 to 864 of the family's 1831-position model. Lineage: Eukaryota; Fungi; Glomeromycota. The record is from RNAcentral.
GGGUCAGUAGGUUGGUCGUGCCACCGGUACGUACUGGUCUCACUGAUUCCUCCUCCCUGAAGAGCCGUAAUGCCAUUAAUUUGGUGUUGCGGGGAAACAGGACUGUUACUUUGAAAAAAUUAGAGUGUUUAAAGCAAGCUAACGCUUGAAUACAUUAGCAUGGAAUAAUGAAAUAGGACGAUCGAUCCUAUUUUGUUGGUUUCUAGGAUUGACGUA